ACUUUUAUAGGAUAAAAGUAAUCCAUUGGUCUUAGGAACCAAAAAUUAUUGGUGCAAAUCCAAAUAAAAGUA
Molecule: transfer RNA, 72 nt
Filed under: Solomys ponceleti (Ponceleti's Solomys)
Lineage: Eukaryota; Metazoa; Chordata; Mammalia; Rodentia; Muridae
Description: tRNA-Leu
Rfam family: tRNA
About the family: Transfer RNA (tRNA) molecules are approximately 80 nucleotides in length. Their secondary structure includes four short double-helical elements and three loops (D, anti-codon, and T loops).
Source: RNAcentral